RNAcentral lists this ribosomal RNA (504 nucleotides) under Triticum aestivum (bread wheat). Its description in RNAcentral is "partial small subunit ribosomal RNA". Lineage: Eukaryota; Viridiplantae; Streptophyta; Magnoliopsida; Poales; Poaceae. The record is from RNAcentral.
AUGCCGACGUGGAGGAAGAGAACGGUAAGAAGUGGAGAAGUGGAGAAGUGGAGGUUCACUGGUAUUUACGGGGAGUCUAAGUAUGGGGAGAAGGAGAAGACGUGGAGACUACUUCGAAACCUUCAUGCACAGUCGUCGUCGUUGCCAUGGCUUUAUGUGGGGGAUUUUAAUGAUAUUUUAUUUGAUGUGGAGAGGGAAGGCGGGCCGACUCGGGCUCAGGGUUGUAUGGAUGCUUUUAGGAAUUGCUUGGAGAUAUGUACUUUGGAUGAUUUAGGUUUCACUGGAGACCCUUUCACUUGGCAAAAAAGUUACACGAGGGAGAGAUUGGAUAGAGCUGUAGCAAAUGUAGCAUGGAGGUGUAUGUUUCCUCUUCACCGAGUUAUUAAUGGUAAUCCUCGUCAUUCAGAUCAUCGUCCAGUUAUUAUCGAGCUGAACGCACAAGAUUUGAACGGCGAAAAAAGGAGUGAACCAUCAUAUUUUUGUUUUGAAGCUAAAUGGUUGUAG